AUCUGUGUGUGCCUCUUCCGAUCUGACAGGUGCAGGGCAACAUGUGGCUAGUACCCCCAGGAACAGCACCGGCUCCGCACAGCGUUUAAGAGUGUUGUCACGAACCCUACAAUAAACGACGGGCCUAUGGCAAGUCAAGCUGAAGGCACCGCUGCUGCAGAAUCCCACAGAGGAGGCAUGUGAACAAGGCUCCUUUCAGAUUCUCCCAUCACCAAAUAAACUGAUUAUCUCUAUCUCAACUCCAAAGACUGAAACUUAAGGACAAGGAAAUCCACGUAAGUGUGCCCUCGGACUGUAUAAUUUAUUAAAACACAUUUUCUGCCCUCUCUACACCCGGCUAGAG
This 343-nucleotide long non-coding RNA is filed under the name Suricata suricatta (meerkat). RNAcentral describes it as "lncRNA (ENSSSUG00005001223.1)". The record is from RNAcentral. Lineage: Eukaryota; Metazoa; Chordata; Mammalia; Carnivora; Herpestidae.